This 396-nucleotide ribosomal RNA is filed under the name uncultured bacterium. RNAcentral's name for it is "partial 16S ribosomal RNA". It matches the Rfam family "Bacterial small subunit ribosomal RNA", at positions 523 to 918 of the family's 1533-position model. The record is from RNAcentral.
AUACGAAGGGUGCAAGCGUUAAUCGGAAUUACUGGGCGUAAAGCGCGCGUAGGUGGUUUUGUAAGUUGGAGGUGAAAGCCCCGGGCUCAACCUGGGAAUUGCCUCCAAAACUGCAUGACUAGAGUACGGUAGAGGGUAGUGGAAUUUCCUGUGUAGCGGUGAAAUGCGUAGAUAUAGGAAGGAACACCAGUGGCGAAGGCGCCUACUGGGACGGAUACGGACCCGGGGUUGGAAAAGCGUGGGGAGAAACAAGGAUUGGUUACCCGGGAGUUCCACGCCUAAAACGAUGUCAACUAGCCGUUGGGAUCCUUGAGAUCUUAGUGGCGCAGCUAACGCAUUAAGUUGACCGCCUGGGGAGUACGGCCGCAAGGUUAAAACUCAAAUGAAUUGGCGGGG